UACGUAGGGUGCAAGCGUUGUCCGGAAUUAUUGGGCGUAAAGAGCUUGUAGGCGGUUUGUCGCGUCUGCUGUGAAAUUUCGGGGCUCAACCCCGAACUUGCAGUGGGUACGGGCAGACUAGAGUGUGGUAGGGGAGACUGGAAUUCCUGGUGUAGCGGUGAAAUGCGCAGAUAUCAGGAGGAACACCGAUGGCGAAGGCAGGUCUCUGGGCCGAUACUGACGCUGAGGAGCGAAAGCGUGGGGAGCAAACAGG
This 253-nucleotide ribosomal RNA is filed under the name uncultured bacterium. RNAcentral describes it as "partial 16S ribosomal RNA". It matches the Rfam family "Bacterial small subunit ribosomal RNA", at positions 524 to 776 of the family's 1533-position model. The record is from RNAcentral.